AUUGAACGCUGGCGGCAGGCCUAACACAUGCAAGACGAGCGGAUGAAGGGAGCUUGCUCCUGGAUUCAGCGGCGGACGGGUGAGUAAUGCCUAGGAAUCUGCCUGGUAGUGGGGGAUAACGUCCGGAAACGGGCGCUAAUACCGCAUACGUCCUGAGGGAGAAAGUGGGGGAUCUUCGGACCUCACGCUAUCAGAUGAGCCUAGGUCGGAUUAGCUAGUUGGUGGGGUAAAGGCCUACCAAGGCGACGAUCCGUAACUGGUCUGAGAGGAUGAUCAGUCACACUGGAACUGAGACACGGUCCAGACUCCUACGGGAGGCAGCAGUGGGGAAUAUUGGACAAUGGGCGAAAGCCUGAUCCAGCCAUGCCGCGUGUGUGAAGAAGGUCUUCGGAUUGUAAAGCACUUUAAGUUGGGAGGAAGGGCAGUAAGUUAAUACCUUGCUGUUUUGACGUUACCAGCAGAAUAAGCACCGGCUAACUUCGUG
RNAcentral lists this ribosomal RNA (484 nucleotides) under uncultured bacterium. RNAcentral's name for it is "partial 16S ribosomal RNA". It matches the Rfam family "Bacterial small subunit ribosomal RNA", at positions 30 to 507 of the family's 1533-position model. The record is from RNAcentral.